AGUGAACGCUGGCGGCGUGCUUAACACAUGCAAGUCGAACGAGAACGGAUUAUAGCUUGCUAUAAUUGUCAGCUAAGUGGCGCACGGGCGAGUAAUGUAUAGGUAAUAUGCCUCUUACUAAGGGAUAACAAAUGAAAACGUUUGCUAAUACCUUAUACUCCUUAUUAACAGAAGUUAAUAAGGGAAAGAUUUAUUGGUAAGAGAUUGGACUGUAUUGUAUCAGUUAGUUGGUGGGGUAAUGGCUUACCAAGACUAUGACACAUAACUGGUUUGAGAGGAUGGUCAGUCACACUGGAACUGAGACACGGUCCAGACUCCUACGGGAGGCAGCAGUGGGGAAUAUUGCACAAUGGACGAAAGUCUGAUGCAGCAACGCCGCGUGGAGGAUGACACAUUUCGGUGCGUAAACUCCUUUUAUAUGAGAAGAUAAUGACGGUAUUAUAUGAAUAAGCACCGGCUAACUCCGUGCCAGCCGCCGCAGUAA
This 484-nucleotide ribosomal RNA is filed under the name uncultured bacterium. RNAcentral's name for it is "partial 16S ribosomal RNA". It matches the Rfam family "Bacterial small subunit ribosomal RNA", at positions 29 to 523 of the family's 1533-position model. The record is from RNAcentral.